GUGUCAGCAGCCGCGGUAAUACGAAGGAUCCAAGCGUUGUCCGGAUUUACUGGGUUUAAAGGGAGCGUAGGCGGGCUAUUAAGUCAGUGGUGAAAGCUUGCAGCUUAACUGUAAAAUUGCCAUUGAAACUGAUAGUCUUGAAUAUGGUUGAGGUGGUUGGAAUAUAUCAUGUAGCGGUGAAAUGCUUAGAUAUGAUAUAGAACACCGAUUGCGAAGGCAGAUCACUAAACCAUUAUUGACGCUGAGGCUCGAAAGCGUGGGGAUCAAACAGGAUUAGAUACCCUAGUAGUCC
Molecule: ribosomal RNA, 292 nt
Filed under: uncultured bacterium
Lineage: Bacteria
Description: partial 16S ribosomal RNA
Rfam family: Bacterial small subunit ribosomal RNA
Source: RNAcentral